CUCCGACGCCGUGGCGACGAACAUACCGCACGGGAUCAAACGGCUCGUUGCCACUACUCUGAAGGACCAGUGAAACACCUAUCCAACAGGAGUAUAAGCGUCGGAUUAAAAUAAAAAUGAAUGCUAAUAAAAUUAUUGACUGAUGCUUACUUGAACCAGGACGGUCAGCUUCUCGAACCACAUGAGUCAUACCGGCUUUGUAACCGAUGAAAGCGGUCAAAUGCACUGGCUUGCUCGGGUCAUCUUUUGGGAAAGCCUUUACUUUACCACGGUGACGUUGGGAUCUUUUUUUUGGGUAGAAUCCCA
Molecule: long non-coding RNA, 306 nt
Organism: Cotesia glomerata
Lineage: Eukaryota; Metazoa; Arthropoda; Insecta; Hymenoptera; Braconidae
Exons: 2
Source: RefSeq, a predicted model, not a curated record